GAUGAACGCUAGCGGCAGGCCUAACACAUGCAAGUCGAGGGGUAGCAGGAUUAAGCUUGCUUAAUUGCUGACGACCGGCGCACGGGUGCGUAACGCGUAUGCAACCUACCUUAUACUGGGGUAUAGCCCGGAGAAAUUCGGAUUAAUCCCCCAUAGUACUAAUGAAUCGCAUGGUUUAUUAGUUAAAGCAUUGCGGUAUAAGAUGGGCAUGCGUCCUAUUAGCUAGAUGGUGAGGUAACGGCUCACCAUGGCUACGAUAGGUAGGGGGCCUGAGAGGGUGGUCCCCCACACUGGUACUGAGACACGGGCCAGACUCCUACGGGAGGCAGCAGUGAGGAAUAUUGGUCAAUGGGCGCAAGCCUGAACCAGCCAUGCCGCGUGCAGGAAGAAUGCCCUAUGGGUUGUAAACUGCUUUUAUUUGGGGAUAAACCUCUUUACGUGUAGAGAGCUGAAGGUACCAAAUGAAUAAGCACCGGCUAACUCCGUGCCAGCAGCCGCCGUAA
This 503-nucleotide ribosomal RNA is filed under the name uncultured bacterium. Its description in RNAcentral is "partial 16S ribosomal RNA". It matches the Rfam family "Bacterial small subunit ribosomal RNA", at positions 28 to 523 of the family's 1533-position model. The record is from RNAcentral.